UGUUGUCUUAAUACUAGUAGCUGGA
This 25-nucleotide non-coding RNA is filed under the name Mus musculus (house mouse). Lineage: Eukaryota; Metazoa; Chordata; Mammalia; Rodentia; Muridae. The record is from RNAcentral.